AGGUGCCCACUACCACACCCAGCUAAUUUUUGUGUUUUUAAUAGAGACCACGUUUCACCUUGUUUACCAGGCUGGUCUCGAACUCCUGGCCUCAGAUGAUUCACCCGCCUUGGCCUCCCAAAGUGCUGGGAUUACAAGCAUGAGCCACCACGCCCUGCCCACAUUUUAGAAAAUGAAUUAUAAGGCACAGAGAGUUCAAGUACCUUUCCAAAGAUGACACAGCUAAUUAGACAGCAGACUAGGUGACCUGACCCCAGGACUUUUGCCCUUGACCUCUGCACUACCUUGUUGAGCAGAGCAGUAAAUAUUUCAUACAUAGCUUUAUCCAGAAUUUUCCUGUUGGUUGUGGUAAACCAUGUUUUGUUGUUUUGAGACAGGCUCUUCUUCUGUUGCCCAGGCUGCUGGUGUGCAGCGACACAAACACUGCUCACUGCAGCCUUAACCUCCUGGGCUCAGGCUAUCCAUUUCAGCUUCCGGAAGUGCUGGGAUUACAGGAAUGUGCCAUCAUGCCUGGCCUCACACUACAUUUUAAUGCUUUUUUUGAAAAUGAAAACUUUUGGCCAGGCACAGUGACUCUCACCUGUAAUCCCAGCACUUUGGGAGGCUGAGGCGGGCGGAUCACGAGGUCAGGAGAUUGAGACCAUCCUGGCUAACAUGGUGAAACCCCAUCUCUACUAAAAAAUACAAAAAAUUGGCCAGGCAUGGUGGCGGGUGCCUGUAGUCCCAGCUACUUGGGAGGCUG
This 742-nucleotide long non-coding RNA is filed under the name Homo sapiens (human). Its description in RNAcentral is "non-protein coding lnc-TPST1-1:13". The record is from RNAcentral. Lineage: Eukaryota; Metazoa; Chordata; Mammalia; Primates; Hominidae.